This 74-nucleotide transfer RNA is filed under the name Mucispirillum sp. RNAcentral describes it as "tRNA-Thr". It matches the Rfam family "tRNA". Rfam says of the family: Transfer RNA (tRNA) molecules are approximately 80 nucleotides in length. Their secondary structure includes four short double-helical elements and three loops (D, anti-codon, and T loops). Lineage: Bacteria; Pseudomonadati; Deferribacterota; Deferribacteres; Deferribacterales; Mucispirillaceae. The record is from RNAcentral.
GCCCGAAUGGCUCAGUUGGUUAGAGUGCGUCCUUGGUAAGGACGAGGUCCCCGGUUCAAUUCCGGGUUCGGGCU